This is a long non-coding RNA of Ruditapes philippinarum (Manila clam), 287 nucleotides long. RefSeq lists it as uncharacterized. Lineage: Eukaryota; Metazoa; Mollusca; Bivalvia; Venerida; Veneridae. The transcript has 3 exons. The record is from RefSeq and is a predicted model, not a curated record.
GUUUCAGCAAGUCGAUGAUCAGUCAGGUGAUGAACAAAUUGUGAUACCAAGACAAAAGUUUAACCAAUUCUUUAAACGAUUAAAGGAGAUGCUACAUAAUGAUGAGCACGGAAAUGAACCGUACAAUAUGUCACAAAGUCCAGUACAAUACUUGUUACUAGAAGCACCACGGCAUCCUCGAAGUUUGCGAACACGUUGCGGUAUGAGUUAAAAAAACAGGGUCGCAUUGAUGCUUACUGUUAUUGAAACAUUUGAAGGACACAUCCAACAACAAUUUUAAUUCUUGU